RNAcentral lists this ribosomal RNA (834 nucleotides) under uncultured bacterium. Its description in RNAcentral is "bacterial SSU rRNA". It matches the Rfam family "Bacterial small subunit ribosomal RNA", at positions 594 to 1427 of the family's 1533-position model. The record is from RNAcentral.
UNAGAAGUUCGGGGCUUAACCCCGNGAUGGGAUGGAAACUGCCAAUCUAGAGUAUCGGAGAGGAAAGUGGAAUUCCUAGUGUAGCGGUGAAAUGCGUAGAUAUUAGGAAGAACACCAGUGGCGAAGGCGACUUUCUGGACGAAAACUGACGCUGAGGCGCGAAAGCCAGGGGAGCGAACGGGAUCAGAUACCCCGGUAGUCCUGGCCGUAAACGAUGGGUACUAGGUGUAGGAGGUAUCGACCCCUUCUGUGCCGGAGUUAACGCAAUAAGUACCCCGCCUGGGGAGUACGACCGCAAGGUUGAAACUCAAAGGAAUUGACGGGGGCCCGCACAAGUGGUGGAGUAUGUGGUUUAAUUCGACGCAACGCGAAGAACCUUACCAGGUCUUGACAUUGAUGGACAGAACUAGAGAUAGUUCCUCUUCUUCGGAAGCCAGAAAACAGGUGGUGCACGGUUGUCGUCAGCUCGUGUCGUGAGAUGUUGGGUUAAGUCCCGCAACGAGCGCAACCCCUAUCUUAUGUUGCCAGCACUUUGGGUGGGAACUCAUGAGAGACUGCCGCAGACAAUGCGGAGGAAGGCGGGGAUGACGUCAAAUCAUCAUGCCCCUUAUGACCUGGGCUACACACGUACUACAAUGGGAGUUAAUAGACGGAAGCGAGAUCGCGAGAUGGAGCAAACCCGAGAAACACUCUCUCAGUUCGGAUCGUAGGCUGCAACUCGCCUACGUGAAGUCGGAAUCGCUAGUAAUCGCAGGUCAGCAUACUGCGGUGAAUACGUUUCCGGGCCUUGUACACACCGCCCGUCACACCACGAAAGUCGGAAGUGCCCAAAGC